CGUAACAAGGUCUCCGUAGGUGAACCUGCGGAGGGAUCAUUACACAAAUAUGAAGGCGGGCUGGAACCUCUCGGGGUUACAGCCUUGCUGAAUUAUUCACCCUUGUCUUUUGCGUACUUCUUGUUUCCUUGGUGGGUUCGCCCACCACUAGGACAAACAUAAACCUUUUGUAAUUGCAAUCAGCGUCAGUAACAAAUUAAUAAUUACAACUUUCAACAACGGAUCUCUUGGUUCUGGCAUCGAUGAAGAACGCAGCGAAAUGCGAUAAGUAGUGUGAAUUGCAGAAUUCAGUGAAUCAUCGAAUCUUUGAACGCACAUUGCGCCCUUUGGUAUUCCAAAGGGCAUGCCUGUUCGAGCGUCAUUUGUACCCUCAAGCUUUGCUUGGUGUUGGGCGUCUUGUCUCUAGCUUUGCUGGAGACUCGCCUUAAAGUAAUUGGCAGCCGGCCUACUGGUUUCGGAGUGCAGCACAAGUCGCACUCUCUAUCAGCAAAGGUCUAGCAUCCAUUAAGCCUUUUUUUCAACUUUUGACCUCGGAUCAGGUAGGGAUACCCGCUGAACUUAAGCAUAUCA
RNAcentral lists this ribosomal RNA (570 nucleotides) under uncultured fungus. RNAcentral's name for it is "eukaryotic LSU rRNA". The stretch from base 208 to 361 matches the Rfam family "5.8S ribosomal RNA". Lineage: Eukaryota; Fungi. The record is from RNAcentral.